RNA transcript from Vigna radiata var. radiata (mung bean), 1852 nucleotides. It is a transcript of the gene named kinesin-like protein KIN-13A, with no coding region annotated. NCBI's taxonomy places the organism in Eukaryota, Viridiplantae, Streptophyta, Magnoliopsida, Fabales, Fabaceae. The transcript has 5 exons. The record is from RefSeq and is a predicted model, not a curated record.
UGUGUGUGUGCGUGUCUGUUUGUGACUGCGUGUCCGUGUGUGUGUGUUUCUUUGUUUGUUUGUGCGUGUCUAAUUGGUUGUGUUUGUUUCUUUGUGUAUGUGUGAGUGAAUGCGUGUGGAUGAAUCCGUGUGUCAUCAAUUAAAUGUCUCUCUCUGCCCAGGCUGACACUUUACAAUUUCAAGACUGGCAACUAAAACCCUGUUUUGUGUUUACUUUACAAUUUCAAGACUGGCAUCUAAAACCCGGUUUUGUGUUUACGUUAUGAUCUUUUUUAUGAACUGUGGUAGUGUUAUAUAUCUCUUUGUGUAUUUUGUAAUGAAGUUAAUUUAAAUAACAUUUUGGUGUAGAAAAGGAAAUGAGCUUAAGAAUUAUUUUUUAUGAUUUGACAGUUAACAAUACUGACAUGAAGAAACAUAAUUGGACGAUCUUUAGGUGGAGUAGCUGGGUUAGAUGGGUUUUAUUCUCCAUGUUCAGGGCGAUUUUGGAUCCGGGCUUUUGGAUCUUCAUGCUAUGGAUGAUACAGAGCUUUUGUAUGAGGAAGAAGUUAUUCAAUCAAGUAGUCAGAUUGAGUCGCCCGGAAUGCACAUGAUUUAUCUUCCAUAUUCUGAUGACAUCAAACUUGUUGAAGAGAGUUGUUCUGAUACAAGUGGGAUGGUGACUAAAGCAAGUAGUGAUUAAAUAAAAAAGGCAGCUGAUUUAAUUAAGCGUCUUGACUUGAAAGAUUUUUCUGUAUGACAAUUUACCAACCAUGCUGCACGAAUGCUUUGGAGCAGCUCUAGUAGGAAUGGGACCUGCAACUCUGUUGUCCCUUGUACCUUUGAAUUUGGAAGCUUGAGAUUGGAUAAUGUGCACUAGUUUGCGACUUCUGAUUCAGCAAAACAAUAUUUUGGAUUUAGAACACAAGGGUUAUAUUGAUGAGGAUAUGGCCAAAGAACAAGUUCAUUAUUCACAACAGGUUGCAAGAGACAAUUUAUAUGUGCUGAAAUCAUCUGCAAAGAACUGGUUAAAAGAUUUAUCAGAAGUAUUCCUUAAAUCUACAAAAGAUGAUGGUGGUUGUUUGCAGGUACUAAAAUUUAAAUAAUUAGGAAUGGUUCUACAAUUUACUAUAGAUGAAUAGAAUGUAAAUCUUGCCUAACACAACAUAUAGUUAGAGUUUUCUGUUCUGUAUAUGUUGGUGUUCUCUCUUUUCGUUUUUCUUCCAUGUUUUUUAUUUCCUAGUUGUGAUUGAUAUUAAUCCUUUAUUAUUCACAAAAUAUGUUUUAAGCUUCAUUGUAACGCCAUAUUUGAUACAGAUUUUGUUAUCUAAUGUUCAUUAGAUUAGAUUUACUUAUUAUAUAUAAAUUGGUUGAGACACUUAUUGUCCUGUGUCAAUUAGUAUGUUGUAGUAGAAAAGAUGCAGACGGUUUAUGUAGAUAGUUGUCAAAGAAAUUGUCAUAAGCUUUUUUUGCUUCAGACACGGUUCUGUAUCGGCAUUCCAAAUUUCUCAUUUAGGUUGGUGAAAAAAACGAGAGGUGUCAGACAACANCACGUGAGGGUUUUUCUUCAUGAAGAAAAUAAAGGCUUCCAAAAUUUAUGUUGUUUUCACUUUGCGUGAUGAAAGUCUUUGCGUGCUAAGAUGAAAAAGAAGAGAAGGCAAGGUAGUAGNGUAAGAGUGGUGGNUAAAGAAAAGGUGAUGUUUUCUGUACUUAUAGCUAUCGUGUCAGUCAUUAAAAGGAAAAUUUUGAUGGAUGGAGAUAGAGCAUUGGAACAAGCAGGUGUAUCAUUCUCCUUUUCAAAUUAUAACUAUGGGAAAUAUAACUAUGGCUUAUUGUAAAUGUAUCUCAUUAAUUUAUUUUAAUAUGAAGUUUAUGU